This 301-nucleotide ribosomal RNA is filed under the name uncultured bacterium. RNAcentral describes it as "partial 16S ribosomal RNA". It matches the Rfam family "Bacterial small subunit ribosomal RNA", at positions 509 to 807 of the family's 1533-position model. The record is from RNAcentral.
CAGUCGCCACGGUAAUACGGAGGGGGCUAGCGUUGUUCGGAAUUACUGGGCGUAAAGCGCACGUAGGCGGCUUGGUAAGUUAGAGGUGAAAGCCCAGGGCUCAACCCUGGAAUUGCCUUUAAGACUGCCGAGCUAGUAGGUGAGAGAGGUAAGUGGAAUUCCGAGUGUAGAGGUGAAAUUCGUAGAUAUUCGGAAGAACACCAGUGGCGAAGGCGGCUUACUGGCUCAUUCUAGACGCUGAGGUGCGAAAGCGUGGGGAGCAAACAGGAUUAGAUACCCCAGUAGUCCCUGUCUCUUAUAC